Molecule: transfer RNA, 72 nt
Filed under: Camelus bactrianus (Bactrian camel)
Lineage: Eukaryota; Metazoa; Chordata; Mammalia; Artiodactyla; Camelidae
Also listed under: 2 other names
Rfam family: tRNA
About the family: Transfer RNA (tRNA) molecules are approximately 80 nucleotides in length. Their secondary structure includes four short double-helical elements and three loops (D, anti-codon, and T loops). Further hydrogen bonds mediate the characteristic L-shaped molecular structure. tRNAs have two regions of fundamental functional importance: the anti-codon, which is responsible for specific mRNA codon recognition, and the 3' end, to which the tRNAs corresponding amino acid is attached (by aminoacyl-tRNA synthetases). tRNAs cope with the degeneracy of the genetic code in two manners: having more than one tRNA (with a specific anti-codon) for a particular amino acid; and 'wobble' base-pairing, i.e. permitting non-standard base-pairing at the 3rd anti-codon position.
Source: Rfam by way of RNAcentral
GGGGUUAUGGCUCAGUGGUCCAGCACGUGCUUGGCGUGCACGAGGUCCUAGGUUCAAUCUCCAGUGCCUCUA